RNAcentral lists this ribosomal RNA (1057 nucleotides) under Petrosia weinbergi. RNAcentral describes it as "SSU rRNA". It matches the Rfam family "Eukaryotic small subunit ribosomal RNA", at positions 41 to 982 of the family's 1831-position model. Lineage: Eukaryota; Metazoa; Porifera; Demospongiae; Haplosclerida; Petrosiidae. The record is from RNAcentral.
AGACUAAGCCAUGCAUGUGCAAGUAUAAACGCUUGAACCGUGAGACUGCGAAUGGCUCAUUAAAUCAGUUAUAGUUUAUUUGAUGGUGUUCUCCACGUGGAUAACCGUGGUAAUUCUAGAGCUAAUACAUGCAGAAGGUCCCGACUAGUUUCGGAAGGGACGUAUUUAUUAGAUCCAAAACCAAUGCGGGUGCCGUGGCCUCGGUUGCGUCCCCGGUCACUUGGUGAUUCAUAGUAACUGCUCGAAUCGCUUGGCCUCCGUGCCGGCGAUGGUUCAUUCAAGUUUCUGCCCUAUCAACUUUCGAUGGUAGGGUAUUGGCCUACCAUGGUCGCAACGGGUGACGGAGAAUUAGGGUUCGAUUCCGGAGAGGGAGCCUGAGAAACGGCUACCACAUCCAAGGAAGGCAGCAGGCGCGCAAAUUACCCAAUCCCGACUCGGGGAGGUAGUGACAAUAAAUAACAAUGCCGGUCCCUAUAGUGGUCCGGCAAUUGGAAUGAGUACAAUCCAAACCCCUUAACGAGGAACAAUUGGAGGGCAAGUCUGGUGCCAGCAGCCGCGGUAAUUCCAGCUCCAAUAGCGUAUAUUAAAGUUGUUGCAGUUAAAAAGCUCGUAGUUGGAUUUCGGGGCCCCGGACGUCUGCUGCGUUCCCCGCUCGACUUGUCUUGUGGGUGCGUGGUGGCCGUUGGUCUCUGAGUCGGAUCGGUCCGCCGAGAGGCGAGCACUGACCGACGGCCCCUGUUAUCUCUCGGGUUGCCCGCCUGCUCUUCAUUGUGGCGGACGGGGAGUUCGGGACGUUUACUUUGAACAAAUUAGAGUGUUCCAAGCAGGCCGGUUGCUUUGAAUACAUUAGCAUGGAAUAAUGGAAUAGGGCUGCGCGACUCGUUGCCCUCGGGUGGCGGGUCCUCGUGUCCUAUUUUGUUGGUUUUCGGGACCGCAGUCAUGGUCGAGAGGGACAGUUGGGGGCAUUCGUAUUCAGUUGUCAGAGGUGAAAUUCUCGGAUUUACGGAAGACGAACGACUGCGAAAGCAUUUGCCAAGGAUGUUUUCAUUAAUCAAGA